This is a non-coding RNA of Aegilops tauschii subsp. strangulata, 2411 nucleotides long. NCBI's taxonomy places the organism in Eukaryota, Viridiplantae, Streptophyta, Magnoliopsida, Poales, Poaceae. The record is from RefSeq and is a predicted model, not a curated record.
GCUCUGUAUGCCUAGAGGUCAGAUGAAGCGAUACAUUCACCGCAUAUCAAUGAUGAUGAGCCAGAAAGGAAUGAAAUAUGACUAUUCAAGUCCUUAGGUUCGUAGUUGGCACAUCCUAUAGAUACGCAAAAGAGUACAUGCGUCCUUGUAGGAUUUAGUCCGAAGGUUUGAGUCAGUACGGUGAAGCGUUGAAGGGAUCGGAUGGAAAAGGAGCUUAAAAUCAGGGAUUUUUAAGCUCCGUAAUGUGGCACGAUGAAAAGGAAAAUAGAAGAACUGACGAUAAAAACAGCAACUAAUGAAAUGGCGAGAGAUGGGCCAAGGGUUAUCUUAUGAAUACACUCUUGAUGAAUGUGCAUAUGUCAUACAAUUAAUGUGGACAUGAGCCAUAGCUCAGUUCACUGAUUACAGAUGUGUUGCAUCCCACCUGCCCGGGUUUGAUCCUGGAUCGAGCAGUGAGUGCCUCAUUUUUCUCCUCAAAGUGCAAGUUAGAACUCUUAGGGCCUGUUCUGAACCUCUCCAGCUUCUGACUCCACAAAAUUCGAGUGUGAAGCCGGCCCGAACGCCUAAGCUCCGUGAAGCUAGAUUCACGAAGCUCAGCCCAAUCGCGGUGUAAAAACAUGAAGCUCCAAAAGCCCAGCUCCACGAAAGCCAGAAUCAGGAAUUGCCCAAUAUUACAACCACACUGCCACCGCCAAAGAAAACAUUUGGAGCCACACGUGAAGAAAAUCUAAUCAUGUUUUGAAACUAGAUGUGUUUUCUGCCAUGACCCCCACGGAGAGGUACUUCUCUGUUUGUCAAAGAGCAGAAAGGUAAGUUAGAAAAUUUUGGCAAUAUAAUUAUCUAUGUUGCACGGAUACUUCAGAAAGUGCGCGUAUCCAGUCGGAUACUGCCCGAUACGUAUCCCAUAAGUAUCCUGUGAUUUAUUGAUUUAAAAAAAUAGUGUUUGAUACGUCUGGGAUACGUUUUGGAUACGGCAACCCCUUCGUUCGACGUGUAAAACUGAAAACUCCUCGAUCCCUUCCUGGCGCCGCCGCACGUCAUCAAUUCCCAGCUGGCCAGCUCGUCCCCUCGACUCCUUGGAGCAGGCGACCGCAGCCCGCAGGUCUCCAACUCUCCAUAAAUUCUCAGCUCCAGUCCUCUUCUCUCCCACAUGUUCUUCUCUCCUUCUCACCUUCCGAAUUCCAAUCCAAUCGAUGCUGAUAGGUCGCCGGCUCGUCGCCGGCAGAAGACAUCCAUGUCUCCCCUGCAGGAGGUAUGUUCUCAUCUCCCUCUCUUCCUCUGAUCUCUCUUCUCCAUCUCCUUCUCUGAAUUCUGUACGCAGGUGUUUUAGGUUUAGAUUUUAAGAUUAGAUCAGUUUUACUAAUCUGUUUUCCUAAUCUCCUCCUUUUACCAUGCAGAUCGGCCAUGUCUAGUAGGUCUUCUUCAGUUAGAAGUGAAGCAGGCAGUGGAGGUAGCGUGGAUUCUUCUCUGCGGUCAAUGAUGUCUUAAUUUUUCGUUGGGUAAAGAGUAGCACUCCGCUGCAUUGCUUGGCUCACUCGCCCAAUCCCAAGUAAGUUAAUUGAAUUGAAUUGAAUUGCUUGCUGAUUGUUAUGUUUUCUAAUCUGAUUGUUGUUUUCUCCUAAGGUACUACACUCCAGCGUGGAUUAGUGCAGUUCCAGGCCAUCAAGCUCCACACAUGGAUCAAGGGAUUUCAGAUGAAAGAAAUGCAUGCUUUAGAAGAUUCUUUCCUCAUGGGGGCCCAGAAAUGAACGAACUGAAACAACAGAUUGCCAACUUCAGUCUCAUGGGUCCUGGAUUUAAAUGGUUUCGACUCCAUUGAAGAUAGAUCUUUGCUAGAGCCGAAGCAGUGGUGGGGGAUUCAUGGAAAUUCUGCCCCGGCUUUGAGGACCAUUGCUCUGAAAUUACUUGGGCAGUCAACCUCCUCUUCUUGUUCUAAAAGGAACUGGAGUACAUAUGGCAUGAUACGCAAUACAUUGAGGAACAGGCUCAACCCUGCACAUGCUGAAGAUUUAGUUUUUGUGCAUAAAAACUUGCGCCUUAUUUCAAGGAAAUAACCAGAGUAUAUAUCUGGCCCAUCCAGAUUUUGGGACAUUGGAGGAGAUAGAUAUGAGUUGUUGUGGUGCCGACUUCCUGCAGCAAGCUGAACUAUCACUAGAUGAGCCUGAACUGGAGGAGUUACUGAAUGAAAUUGAAGCAUUGGAUGUGGAUUAGUGAGGUGGAUGACCGAGCCUUAUUGAUUUGUGAACUGGUUGUGAUGUGAACUCCUGUUUUAUUUGUGAGAACCCGAACCUAAAUUAUGAUAUUUAUAUAUCUAUGCAACCAUGUACGUGUGAAUUUGAUGUGCGAAUUGUGAAUGUGACUACCUUAUUUGUUAAGCAAUUAUGUCGAACCAUCGACAUCGUGCAUCCGAA